GACGGAGGGUGCAAACGUUGUUCGGAAUCACUGGGCAUAAAGAGCACGUAGGCUGCGCGCUAAGUCAGGUGUGAAAGUCCAGGGCUCAACCCUGGAAAGCCGGUGGAUACUGCAGGGCUAGAGUCCGGAAGAGGCGAGUGGAAUUCCUGGUGUAGCGGUGAAAUGCGUAGAUAUUGGGAGGAACACCAGUAGCGAAGGCGGCUCACUGGACCGGAACUGACGCUGAGGCGCGAAAGCGUGGGGAGCAAACAGG
This 253-nucleotide ribosomal RNA is filed under the name uncultured bacterium. RNAcentral's name for it is "partial 16S ribosomal RNA". It matches the Rfam family "Bacterial small subunit ribosomal RNA", at positions 524 to 776 of the family's 1533-position model. The record is from RNAcentral.